CCUACGGGUGGCAGCAGUGAGGAAUAUUGGUCAAUGGCCGUAAGGCUGAACCAGCCAAGUCGCGUGAAGGAAGAAGGAUCUAUGGUUUGUAAACUUCUUUUAUAGGGGAAUAAAUGUCUCCAUGUGUGGAUUUUUGCAUUUACCCUAUGAAUAAGCAUAGGCUAACUCCGUGCCAUCAGCCGCGGUAAUACGGAGGAUGCGAGCGUUAUCCGGAUUUAUUGGGCUUAAAGGGUGCGUAGGUUGUUUUUUAAGUCAGCGGUGAAAGUUUGGGGCUCAACCAUAAAAUUGCCGUUGAAACUGGAAGACUUGAGUGUGGUUGAGGGAGGCGGAAUGCGUGGUGUAGCGGUGAAAUGCAUAGAGAUCGCGCAGAACUCCGAUGGCGAAGGCAGCUUACUAAGCAAUAACUGACACUGAGGCACGAAAGCGUGGGGAUCAAACAGGAUUAGAUACCCUGGUAGUC
RNAcentral lists this ribosomal RNA (460 nucleotides) under uncultured bacterium. Its description in RNAcentral is "partial 16S ribosomal RNA". It matches the Rfam family "Bacterial small subunit ribosomal RNA", at positions 338 to 795 of the family's 1533-position model. The record is from RNAcentral.